This 2718-nucleotide ribosomal RNA is filed under the name Triticum aestivum (bread wheat). RNAcentral's name for it is "partial small subunit ribosomal RNA". Lineage: Eukaryota; Viridiplantae; Streptophyta; Magnoliopsida; Poales; Poaceae. The record is from RNAcentral.
AUGUCCAGCAACAGCGGCGGUGGUACAAAGGAGAAGGGUCCCCGAAUUGCUACUCCGCUUGUGCCACCUCCCUUAGUCCAGAAUUCUAUGCCUACUGCUUCAGAUGGCCCCACCACUGAUCUGAGAUUAGCACAACAGUCCUGGCCUGGACAUGUAGUCCUGCGUCCAUGCACAUCUUGGCCUCCUCAUGUGAAUCCUGCGUAUCCACAACAAAAUGGGGAAGCAGUGGCGGAUGUGGUGGCAGCCGAUGUUCUUCCUGUGAUUAAUAGCUGCAAUGAGAAGAUGUUGCCGGAAGUAAAUAUGCUAUUUGAUGACGAGAAUGAUGCUUAUGAGUUCUACAAUAUUUAUGCGGAGAAGGUGGGCUUCUUUGUUCGGAGAUCAACACUCUGGACAACAUCGAAAAACAUCAUCACUAGGAGGACAUUUGUUUGCUCAAGAGAAGGUUUUCGGGAGAAGAAGAAGGGUGCCAAGGAAUCAAAGUGCCCACGGCCUGAAACAAGAAUUGGUUGCCCAGCAAGCAUGACCAUUAGGCUUACUCCCAAUGGCAAGUACCGUUUGACAGAAUUUGUACCAAACCAUAACCAUCAGUUGGCAACAGCUUCUACGAUUCAUAUGUUGAAAGCAAAGAAAAUUAGGCGUAAAGCACGGGCUGUGAGAGAAAAUCUGGUGGAUGAUACUGUGGUAACGCCAGAGUUUGAAAAUGAAGAUGAGGCAUAUGAAUUUUACAGCAUGUAUGCAGGGAAAAUUGGAUUUAACGUGAGAAGGGCAAGCAUGACAGUAAAUGCUGAAAAUGUUAUCACUAGAAGGAUGUUUGUUUGUUCAAAAGAAGGGUUCCGUGAGAAGAAAAGAGGAGCAAAUAGAGUAAAGAAGCCUCGUCCGGAGACACGAACUGGUUGCCCAGCGUGUAUGGUCAUCAGACUUGCAUCUAACGGCAAGUAUAAUGUCACUGAGUUUGUCACCUUCCACAAUCACGGUCUUGGCGCUGCAGCAGCUUCUGAUCUUGUGAUGACAUCACUAGCGGCUGGAAGUUAUCAAGAUUGUGGAGUAGAUUUGUAUGAUGAAUCACUAGACGAUUGUUACGGCAAGCAAAAUCUUAUCAAGGAUGAUGCCACUUCAAACAGUCUAGAAGGUAGAAGUUGGAAAAGGUACAAGUGUAAAGUUCCUCACUAUGGUGAUGUAGGUGCCACUCUGGAGUACCUACAAAAGAUGCAACAUGACAACCCUUCAUUCUUCUAUGCAGUAAAAUCUGAUGAAGAUGGGUACUUGACUAAUUUUCUUUGGGCAGAUUCCAAGUCCAUCAUGGAUUUUACCCACUUUGGUGAUGUAGUAUGCCUUGAUUCAGGAUAUGCAGUGCAAGGCUAUGGUAGGCCGAUUGCUUUGUUUACAGGUCUGAAUCAUCAUAGGCAAACUGUCAUCUUUGGUACUGCAUUACUUUAUGAUGAGAGCUUUGAAGCUUUCAGAUGGCUAUUUGAUACUUUUAAGAUGGCAAUGAAUAGUACCCAUCCCAAGACAUUGUUAACUGAUAGAUCGGCUGUGAUAAGUGAAGCUGUUGCAGUAAGUUGGCCUGAGACGGCACAUCGUUUUUGUGUUUGGCAAAUUUACCAAAAUGCUCUUCAACAGUUAAGUCAAGCAUUCCAUGGGUCAAGAACUUUAGAAUACAACUUCAAGAGAUGCCUAUUUGAUUGUGAAGAUGAGGCUGAGUUUUUGAUGGCAUGGAGAGAAAUGUUGGAAAAUCAUGACCUAAAAGAUAAUCAAUGGCUAGCAGAUCUUCUUGCUGUUAAGGAGAAAUGGGCAUUACCAUAUGGUCGUGAGGCAUUUUACGCUGAUAUGAAAAGCGUCCAACAGAAGGACAACUUGAGUAGUGAGCUUAAAAUAUAUUUAUCCCUAGAAUUCGACCUUUUGAGUUUCUUUGUGCAGUUUGAAAAAUUAUUAUGUGAUCGUCGGUCUGCAGAACUGCAACUUGAUGUGAGUGCCAAUCAAAGCACAAAGAAGCCACCUCCGAUGCGAAUAUUAAGGCAAGCUGCAAAUGUGUAUACACCUGCUGCCUAUAGAAUGUUUGAAAGAGAGUUUGAAUUGUACAUGGAUUGCAUGCUAUAUAACUGUGGCGAGAUGGGCACAAUCUGUGAGUAUAGGAUAACUGGCGAGGACAAUCCAAAAGAUCAUUUUGUUAAGUAUGAUUCGCUCAAUUCCAUGUCACAUUGUAGUUGCAAGAGGUUUGAGUUUGUAGGCAUUCCAUGUCGCCAUAUGCUGAAGGUACUUGACACUAGGAAUAUCAAGGACAUUCCUCCUCAGUACAUCUUGAAAAGGUGGAGGAAAGAUGCCAGAUCAGGAUCUUCAAAUGGUGGUUACGCGUACUCUUUUGAUGGUGAUCCUCAGACAAAGCGUCACACUUUAUUGUGUCGAAUAUUCAGUAUAGCAGCGGCUAGAGCUGCAACCUCUGCCGAAUCAUUUGCGUACAUGGAAAGCCAAUCGAGCAUACUUAUGGGUCAAGUCGAACAAUUUCUUGAAAACAGCCCCCCUGACAUAGCUGCUAUUACUGGUGCUAAUUGUGACCGUACUCAAAUUCCAGUUGAAAGUAUGAUCACAGACGGUCUGCACAAUCAUGCUAACUUUAUCGAUGGCUCUGCUGAUGGUACUUGUUCAAUCAAGAUGAUUCCCCCCCUUUUUGUUUGUCGCAACAUGUAUUUAACAGUGCUAAUUGUAAUGCAGAUUCUCUAA